UAGGGAAUCUUCGGCAAUGGACGAAAGUCUGACCGAGCAACGCCGCGUGAGUGAAGAAGGUUUUCGGAUCGUAAAACUCUGUUGUUAGAGAAGAACAAGGACGUUAGUAACUGAACGUCCCCUGACGGUAUCUAACCAGAAAGCCACGGCUAACUACGUGCCAGCAGCCGCGGCAAUACGUAGGUGGCAAGCGUUGUCCGGAUUUAUUGGGCGUAAAGCGAGCGCAGGCGGUUUCUUAAGUCUGAUGUGAAAGCCCCCGGCUCAACCGGGGAGGGUCAUUGGAAACUGGGAGACUUGAGUGCAGAAGAGGAGAGUGGAAUUCCAUGUGUAGCGGUGAAAUGCGUAGAUAUAUGGAGGAACACCAGUGGCGAAGGCGGCUCUCUGGUCUGUAACUGACGCUGAGGCUCGAAAGCGUGGGGAGCAAACAGG
RNAcentral lists this ribosomal RNA (429 nucleotides) under Gemmatimonadota bacterium. Its description in RNAcentral is "Gemmatimonadetes bacterium partial 16S ribosomal RNA". It matches the Rfam family "Bacterial small subunit ribosomal RNA", at positions 355 to 776 of the family's 1533-position model. The record is from RNAcentral. Lineage: Bacteria; Pseudomonadati; Gemmatimonadota.